GGAAGUCAGGUGUCACGUUGGAGUUGGCCGACCGUUCGGACUGGAGGCGGUAUUUAAGGUAAGAGUGAAGACCUGACGCCACUUUUGCAUGCAAACUCCAUCUUCUUCCUCAAACUCAAUCUUCUGAAAAAUCUCAAAUUCUCCUCCUUCUCUCUAAAACCUCCCUACCUUCUCUCUAGAAUUCUAACCCCUUUUACUGUUCCGAUCACUCUUCAGAUCACACCUGAAGACUUCUGGUGGUCUUCUCUCUCUCUUAAACCGUCCGGUUUUC
RNAcentral lists this long non-coding RNA (271 nucleotides) under Vigna radiata. RNAcentral describes it as "long non-coding RNA (VRAD_LNC011978)". Lineage: Eukaryota; Viridiplantae; Streptophyta; Magnoliopsida; Fabales; Fabaceae. The record is from RNAcentral.